AUAAUAAUAUAAAAAAUCAACGUACUGAGUAUAACAACAAUUACAUUAUAAGUAUUAUAACAAGGAAUAAUGUAUGAAAUGGCAUUAUGGCAAGUGCAUGAUAGUAUUUUCAUAAUGAUAUUAAACGUUACACACCCUUUUCGGAGUACUUAAUGAUUAACCCUUAACCACCUACGUGCGGUCUCACAGACCAUAGAUUAUUCAAAGUUGUCAAUAACUGAACGCGAGUACAUCGCACAUGCGUCUGUGACCUUGUACCUUUGCCCGGCCCCCCCGCAGAGCCGGCCAUGCCGUCGACUUAUUCAGACGUGUGCUCAUUUGGAUUUGUAAAACAUGCUUCCUAGUGACGCAACAAUUGAAAAGUGGCUACAGGAAGUAUCGUCUGGUGAAGAUGACCUGUCGGAUGAAGGAUACAGUGCCGUAGAACCAGAACUU
Long non-coding RNA from Cydia pomonella (codling moth), 435 nucleotides. RefSeq lists it as uncharacterized. NCBI's taxonomy places the organism in Eukaryota, Metazoa, Arthropoda, Insecta, Lepidoptera, Tortricidae. The record is from RefSeq and is a predicted model, not a curated record. The transcript is spliced from 2 exons.